CAUUGAAACACCGGUUCUUGUAUCAUCACCAAAGUUAAGCAAUGUUGAGCCUGGUCAGUGCUUAGAUGGGUGAUCACUUGGGAAUACUAUGUAUUGUAAG
Molecule: non-coding RNA, 100 nt
Organism: Acanthosepion pharaonis
Lineage: Eukaryota; Metazoa; Mollusca; Cephalopoda; Sepiida; Sepiidae
Source: the annotation of a GenBank genome assembly